Molecule: ribosomal RNA, 426 nt
Filed under: uncultured Actinomycetes bacterium
Lineage: Bacteria; Bacillati; Actinomycetota; Actinomycetes
Description: bacterial SSU rRNA
Rfam family: Bacterial small subunit ribosomal RNA
Source: RNAcentral
GCGGCCUAUCAGCUUGUUGGUGAGGUAAUGGCUCACCAAGGCGACGACGGGUAGCCGGCCUGAGAGGGCGACCGGCCACACUGGGACUGAGACACGGCCCAGACUCCUACGGGAGGCAGCAGUGGGGAAUAUUGGGCAAUGGAGGAAACUCUGACCCAGCGACGCCGCGUGAGGGAUGAAGGCCUUCGGGUUGUAAACCUCUUUCAGUAGGGAAGAAGCGAAAGUGACGGUACCUACAGAAGAAGCACCGGCUAACUAUGUGCCAGCAGCCGCGGUAAUACAUAGGGUGCAAGCGUUGUCCGGAAUUAUUGGGCGUAAAGAGCUCGUAGGUGGUUCGAUACGUCGGAUGUGAAAAUCAGGGGCUCAACCCCUGACCUGCAUCCGAUACGGUCGAGCUGGAGUUUGGUAGGGGAGACUGGAAUUCCU